UGAGGAAUAUUGGUCAAUGGGCGGAAGCCUGAACCAGCCAUGCCGCGUGAGGGAAUGAGGCCCUACGGGUCGUAAACCUCUUUUGCCGGGGGAUAACGGGCGCCACGAGUGGCGCCGUGAAGGUACCCGGAGAAUAAGCAUCGGCUAACUCCGUGCCAGCAGCCGCGGUAAUACGGAGGAUGCGAGCGUUAUCCGGAUUUAUUGGGUUUAAAGGGUGCGCAGGCGGGCGCCUAAGUCAGCGGUGAAAGUUCCCGGCUCAACCGGGUCAGUGCCGAUGAUACUGGGGGCCUUGAAUGCGGUCGAGGCCGGCGGAAUGUGGCGUGUAGCGGUGAAAUGCAUAGAUAUUGCGCAGAACUCCGAUUGCGAAGGCAGCGUACCGGCGCCCGACUGACGCUGAGGCACGAAAGCGUGGGGAUCGAACA
This 422-nucleotide ribosomal RNA is filed under the name uncultured Porphyromonadaceae bacterium. RNAcentral's name for it is "bacterial SSU rRNA". It matches the Rfam family "Bacterial small subunit ribosomal RNA", at positions 355 to 774 of the family's 1533-position model. The record is from RNAcentral. Lineage: Bacteria; Pseudomonadati; Bacteroidota; Bacteroidia; Bacteroidales; Porphyromonadaceae.